GAUGAAGAACGCAGCAAAAUGCGAUAAGUAAUGUGAAUUGCAGAAUUCAGUGAAUCAUCGAAUCUUUGAACGCACAUUGCGCCCGCCAGUAUUCUGGCGGGCAUGCCUGUUCGAGCGUCAUUUCAACCCUCAAGCCCUCGGGUUUGGUGUUGGGGAUCGGCGAGCCUUUCUGGCAAGCCGGCCCCGAAAUCUAGUGGCGGUCUCGCUGCAGCCUCCAUUGCGUAGUAGUAAAACCCUCGCAACUGGAACGCGGCGCGGCCAAGCCGUUAAACCCCCAACUUUUUAUAGUUGACCUCGAAUCAGGUAGGACUACCCGCUGAACUUAAGCAUAUCAAUAAGCGGAGGA
RNAcentral lists this unclassified non-coding RNA (346 nucleotides) under soil metagenome. RNAcentral describes it as "partial contains 5.8S ribosomal RNA, internal transcribed spacer 2, and large subunit ribosomal RNA". The stretch from base 1 to 120 matches the Rfam family "5.8S ribosomal RNA", at positions 35 to 154 of the family's 154-position model. The record is from RNAcentral.